RNAcentral lists this ribosomal RNA (1519 nucleotides) under Salmonella enterica. RNAcentral's name for it is "partial 23S ribosomal RNA". It matches the Rfam family "Bacterial large subunit ribosomal RNA", at positions 1 to 1552 of the family's 2925-position model. Lineage: Bacteria; Pseudomonadati; Pseudomonadota; Gammaproteobacteria; Enterobacterales; Enterobacteriaceae. The record is from RNAcentral.
GGGUUGUGAGGUUAAGCGACUAAGCGUACACGGUGGAUGCCCUGGCAGUCAGAGGCGAUGAAGGGCGUGCUAAUCUGCGAUAAGCGCCGGUAAGGUGAUAUGAACCGUUAUAACCGGCGAUACCCGAAUGGGGAAACCCAGUGUGACUCGUCACACUAUCAUUAACUGAAUCCAUAGGUUAAUGAGGCGAACCGGGGGAACUGAAACAUCUAAGUACCCCGAGGAAAAGAAAUCAACCGAGAUUCCCCCAGUAGCGGCGAGCGAACGGGGAGGAGCCCAGAGCCUGAAUCAGCAUGUGUGUUAGUGGAAGCGUCUGGAAAGGCGCGCGAUACAGGGUGACAGCCCCGUACACAAAAGCGCAUGUGCUGUGAGCUCGAUGAGUAGGGCGGGACACGUGGUAUCCUGUCUGAAUAUGGGGGGACCAUCCUCCAAGGCUAAAUACUCCUGACUGACCGAUAGUGAACCAGUACCGUGAGGGAAAGGCGAAAAGAACCCCGGCGAGGGGAGUGAAAAAGAACCUGAAACCGUGUACGUACAAGCAGUGGGAGCACAGGUUUACCUGUGUGACUGCGUACCUUUUGUAUAAUGGGUCAGCGACUUAUAUUCUGUAGCAAGGUUAACCGAAUAGGGGAGCCGGAGGGAAACCGAGUCUUAACCGGGCGUUAAGUUGCAGGGUAUAGACCCGAAACCCGGUGAUCUAGCCAUGGGCAGGUUGAAGGUUGGGUAACACUAACUGGAGGACCGAACCGACUAAUGUUGAAAAAUUAGCGGAUGACCUGUGGCUGGGGGUGAAAGGCCAAUCAAACCGGGAGAUAGCUGGUUCUCCCCGAAAGCUAUUUAGGUAGCGCCUCGUGAAUUCAUCUCCGGGGGUAGAGCACUGUUUCGGCUAGGGGGCCAUCCCGGCUUACCAACCCGAUGCAAACUGCGAAUACCGGAGAAUGUUAUCACGGGAGACACACGGCGGGUGCUAACGUCCGUCGUGAAGAGGGAAACAACCCAGACCGCCAGCUAAGGUCCCAAAGUCAUGGUUAAGUGGGAAACGAUGUGGGAAGGCCCAGACAGCCAGGAUGUUGGCUUAGAAGCAGCCAUCAUUUAAAGAAAGCGUAAUAGCUCACUGGUCGAGUCGGCCUGCGCGGAAGAUGUAACGGGGCUAAACCAUGCACCGAAGCUGCGGCAGCGACGCUGAUGCGUUGUUGGGUAGGGGAGCGUUCUGUAAGCCUGCGAAGGUGGCCUGUGAGGGUUGCUGGAGGUAUCAGAAGUGCGAAUGCUGACAUAAGUAACGAUAAAGCGGGUGAAAAGCCCGCUCGCCGGAAGACCAAGGGUUCCUGUCCAACGUUAAUCGGGGCAGGGUGAGUCGACCCCUAAGGCGAGGCCGAAAGGCGUAGUCGAUGGGAAACGGGUUAAUAUUCCCGUACUUGGUGUUACUGCGAAGGGGGGACGGAGAAGGCUAUGUUGGCCGGGCGACGGUUGUCCCGGUUUAAGCGUGUAGGCUGGUUUUCCAGGCAAAUCCGGAAAAUCA